CUCCUUGAGCAAGCAGAAAAGGAUAAAUCAAAUCUUAAAUUAGAAUAUAAUGAGAAGCGUAAAGCUAAAGUUGCUGAAAUAUUUGAAGAGAAGACACAAGUAGAGGAGAAGAAACAGAUUAUUACUGAAGAUUAUGAGAAACUGAAACUCAAAGUAACUGAUAUGGAGGAGCAAUAUCUCAAGGAGAAGCAGAUUAUUAUUUUCGACAAUCAAAAUCUCAUUUCU
Amphimedon queenslandica is the source of this 225-nucleotide long non-coding RNA. RefSeq lists it as uncharacterized. The transcript is spliced from 4 exons. The record is from RefSeq and is a predicted model, not a curated record. Lineage: Eukaryota; Metazoa; Porifera; Demospongiae; Haplosclerida; Niphatidae.